RNAcentral lists this non-coding RNA (27 nucleotides) under Homo sapiens (human). The record is from RNAcentral. Lineage: Eukaryota; Metazoa; Chordata; Mammalia; Primates; Hominidae.
UAGAAGACUGACUCUUUGCUGCUGCCC